AGUCACGCUGGGACCACAGUGGGAGCUAAACCAUCGCUAAAACUGGCAGAGCAGAGAGACAGAAAAACCCAUGUUAGUGAUGACAUUGCUGAGCCACUGAAUUCACCAGCCCCCGAGGCUCCCAAACUUGGACGUUCAUGCAUUGGCGUCUGCCAUGGAGAGCUCACUAUAUGGAACUGGGACAAAUCUGAGAACUACUGGUUUACACCACACAAUCAGCAUCAGAAAUACCUGUGCAGGUCAGAAGUGCUGUAUCACCAAGGAGAAGAAUGUGAGCUCCCUCUUCUGUUUUCAUUUCGCUCUCUCCCUUCUUUUUCCUUUUAGACCAGUAUUGACCCCGGGGAUGCGGCUGGCCAGGUCUGCAGGGAAGCGCAGAGACUCCUAGC
This 386-nucleotide long non-coding RNA is filed under the name Homo sapiens (human). Its description in RNAcentral is "HSALNT0311659". The record is from RNAcentral. Lineage: Eukaryota; Metazoa; Chordata; Mammalia; Primates; Hominidae.